UGGGGAAUAUUGCACAAUGGGCGAAAGCCUGAUGCAGCAACGCCGCGUGAGUGAUGAAGGCCUUCGGGUUGUAAAGCUCUGUCUUCUGGGACGAUAAUGACGGUACCAGAGGAGGAAGCCACGGCUAACUACGUGCCAGCAGCCGCGGUAAUACGUAGGUGGCAAGCGUUGUCCGGAUUUACUGGGCGUAAAGGAUGCGUAGGCGGAUACUUAAGUCAGAUGUGAAAAUCCCGGGCUUAACUUGGGAACUGCAUUUGAAACUGGGUAUCUAGAGUGCGUGAGAGGAAAGUGGAAUUCCUAGUGUAGCGGUGAAAUGCGUAGAGAUUAGGAAGAACACCAGUGGCGAAGGCGACUUUCUGGACCGUAACUGACGCUGAGGCAUGAAAGCGUGGGGAGCAAACA
This 402-nucleotide ribosomal RNA is filed under the name uncultured bacterium. RNAcentral's name for it is "bacterial SSU rRNA". It matches the Rfam family "Bacterial small subunit ribosomal RNA", at positions 355 to 774 of the family's 1533-position model. The record is from RNAcentral.